This is a long non-coding RNA of Oncorhynchus tshawytscha (Chinook salmon), 2777 nucleotides long. RefSeq lists it as uncharacterized. NCBI's taxonomy places the organism in Eukaryota, Metazoa, Chordata, Actinopteri, Salmoniformes, Salmonidae. The record is from RefSeq and is a predicted model, not a curated record. The transcript has 4 exons.
CUGUGGGAGCAGUUGGUGGCUGACUAAAUACUUUUUUGCCCCACUGUAACAUUUAAAACAUGUCUCAUCCAUAAACCUAGAGUUUCUAGACUAGGGACCUUAGACACUCUAGGUUUGGGAUAGCGUGUUACAAGGGUGUAGCAAUGGUUUUACUGUGGAGAACUACGUACUAAUGGUUCAAUGUGGAGAGAGGGAGUGAGUGACAGAGAGAGUGAGAAGUAUGUGUGUGAAAUGUAUAUGAGCUUGCGUGUUGGCCACAGCAGUGACAUAAUGUGUCUCUCUCUGGCGCUGUGUGUGUGUGUGUGUGUGUGUGUGUUCAAAGCUCAGCAAAAGUGAUGACGCAAUGACAUCACACCAUAACAGAAAUGUCCUAUCAACUUAUAUACUCCCAAAAUAGCCUACAACACGGCCCACCAGAAAUGCACAGCGAUACAAAUCACAUGUGGCUCUGGGCACAGCAGUGCUAAUUUAAUGGGACUCAAAUGCCAGGCAUUAGAAUGCUGAGAGCAUUCCUGAACCACACCUACUACCAAGAUAACACAUGUCUAGCCUGAAGUCAUAUGAUUAACCUAACAGAUGAAUAUAGUACUUCACCUCUAACACUGUAAUAGAAACAGGUCUGGUGUGGAGUACCAGUAAAUAAAUUGUAGGGGGUAUGCCGUACUGGUAAAACAUGUGGACAUAUCACAAUAAUUAAAACAAAGAUUCUAUUUGUCAUUACCGCAUGUCAGUCGCAUGAAAAAUGAGCAAAUAGACUUGAGAACUUGUGGACUACGCUCCAAAGUGAUGUCUCUUUGCAUUUAACAAAUGGGAACAGGGAAAAAAUAUGAUUUAUUUCUUUCCACAUCUUGAGAGAAUAAAAGUUGACAUUCAAGACUAAAUGAAAUACUAUCAGUUGUUUGAUCGUUUUAACAGCUUUUCAUUUCCUUUAAACUGAUGUCAUUUGGAAAUCUCCCUGGUCCCUAAAUGUCCUCAAAUUUAACCAAUCUCAACUAGAUUGUUGAUGAUUCAUUGAUCAUUCUGUCGAUUUAUGACAUUCUAGCGAGCAAGUGCUUAUUUAGAGUUCUAGACGAGCAUUAAGUAAUGACACAAGAGAAGCUGCACAUAUCUAAUUAUAGACAAGUUUGCUAACAAAUAGCCUUCCAAAUUGUCAGAAAUUAUAAGCAGAAAAAUAUGUACAUGAGGCUUAAAAAGUCCCCCCAACAUGACUGGUUGUGUUUAUGCCACAUUAAAAGGUAGGCUAAUACAUUUGAAAAGUUAAACGACACAUCUUUACUAUUAGGCCGAUGGUGAUCCUAAUAAAAUCAUAUGGAUUCUAUGAUUAGACCCAUCAUUUUUUUAAACUCGUGCAAACAUAGGAGGUCCCCAUACUUUGAAGAAAUGAAAUCUACUACUUUCACCCCUGAAUAACACUAUUAGCUACAGUAUCGAAUACAUAACACUAUAAGAAAUAACAGUUUUAUAACAACCUAUUUUAGUCCUUAAAGGGACAUUUCACCGCUGCUCUAUUUCACUAUAUAUGUCCAUUAAUAUGUUAACUUAUCCUAUGGGUCAUAAAAAAAUAUUUGAAAAAUCCUCACUACACGCAAAUGCGAGCGUUUCUGCAUCUCACAGGUAGAAACGGGCCAGCUACAUUUCGUGGUUGUAAGCAAACGACAAUAACCAGAUUUCAUAGUGAUUUCAGGAUGUAGGUGCCGCUCUGUGGAGGUGUAUCCAGUUGAUGUGAGAAAUAUACAAAUGCCUGUGUUUGUAACCAGCACUUUCAGCCAGAGUGUUUCAAAACGGAACUGAAGUCUCAACUGAUGAUUUUUUCCAUGUCGUCGACUGUUGAAAAGUGAUGCUAUUCCAUCAAUUUCCUACUUCACUUCGAAGAGGAAGGGAUCCGAUCAGCCAACAUCAACGCUGCAGAAAAAAAAAGUCAAGCCGAGAGUCCGAUUCCAACAACAUCUGCGGUGGCAUCAAGCUCAGCACCAGGAACGAGUAGCCUAAUCCUGCUGCUGAUAAUUAAUCCUGCCGACCAUGACCAUGACACCAGCUUUAGUAGUACAGAGCCUUUAGACCCAUUGGAUGACAACUUUAAGCCUGGAAUAAGCUCAAGGCCAACAUCAUGACUUUGAACCAAGCCAAGACAGGCAAGGGAGACUUGCAGUACAUAGAAAUCAUCUGCAAGAGGUCGACGCAGUGGGUGGUGGAGAACAUCACCACAGCGCCAAAGCCUGCUAAACCAGCUGCCAUUACCCAACACAAGAAGACGUUCAGCACACGAACAUUCUGGAACCUGCCAGGAUAUUCAAUCAACUAAUCAUCCAUAUAGUUUGACUGAUGCUGUAGUAUAAUAUAGAAUGCCUAGUAUGCUCAAUUGCAUUGUGGUAUAGUUAUUGCUAGCUGUUGAACAUAUGUAUAUAAUGGUGUUUUAUACAUUUUUUUUUAUAUAUAUUUUUUAUACAAGUGUACUGACAAGUGACUAAAUGAUUCCAGCUGCAUCAGAAACCAAUAGUGCUGACUUUAAAUUGUGAUAUUCAUGAAAUGUACUUUGGUAAACUAGCUUCAAUCUUACUGCUAAAACAAAUGAAGGUCGUUGGUGUAUCAUUUAAACUUUAAUUUGUUGGCAAGUAAACAUGUUAAAAUAAAACAGAUGUCUUCAAGACAAAGUUUAUUUGCUCUGGAGACCGAGGUGAGUUUACAUGCAGGAAGUUAUGGCAAUGUAUGACAUACUGUAUAUACAGUAGAAAAAUAUAUACUAAUGCUUAUAAUAAAUACUAGUUCUACAAUGGGAA